GUGUUCUUAGGCAAAUCCGGGGACACGUACUUUAAUGUACACACUGAGAGCUGAUGACGAGGUCCUAAGGGACUGAAGUAGUUGAUGCCAUGCUUCCAGGAAAAUCUUCUAAGCUUCAGGUUAGUGGGAAUCGUACCCCAAACCGACACAGGUGGUCGGGUAGAGAAUACCAAGGCGCUUGAGAGAACUCGGCUGAAGGAACUAGGCAAAAUGGUACCGUAACUUCGGGAGAAGGUACGCUCCUGUUGGUGAUGAGACUUGCUCUCUAAGCUGACGGGAGUCGCAGAUACCAGGUGGCUGCAACUGUUUAUCAAAAACACAGCACUGUGCAAACUCGCAAGAGGAAGUAUACGGUGUGACGCCUGCCCGGUGCCGGAAGGUUAAUUGAUUGGGUUAUCGCAAGAGAAGCUCAUGAUCGAAGCCCCGGUAAACGGCGGCCGUAACUAUAACGGUCCUAAGGUAGCGAAAUUCCUUGUCGGGUAAGUUCCGACCUGCACGAAUGGCGUAAUGAUGGCCACGCUGUCUCCAGCCGAGACUCAGUGAAGUUGAAAUUGCGGUGAAGAUGCCGUAUACCCGCGGCUAGACGGAAAGACCCCGUGAACCUUUACUAUAGCUUGGCACUGAACAUUGAACCUACAUGUGUAGGAUAGGUGGGAGACUUUGAAGUUGUGACGCUAGUCAUGAUGGAGUCGUCCUUGAAAUACCACCCUUGUAGUUUUGAUGUUCUAACCUAGGUCCCUUAUCGGGAUUAGGGACAGUGCCUGGUGGGUAGUUUGACUGGGGCGGUCUCCUCCCAAAGAGUAACGGAGGAGCACGAAGGUUGGCUAAGUACGGUCGGACAUCGUACGGUUAGUGCAAUGGCAUAAGCCAGCUUAACUGCGAGACAUACACGUCGAGCAGGUACGAAAGUAGGU
RNAcentral lists this ribosomal RNA (914 nucleotides) under Shewanella sp. SP1S2-4. Its description in RNAcentral is "partial 23S ribosomal RNA". It matches the Rfam family "Bacterial large subunit ribosomal RNA", at positions 1526 to 2410 of the family's 2925-position model. Lineage: Bacteria; Pseudomonadati; Pseudomonadota; Gammaproteobacteria; Alteromonadales; Shewanellaceae. The record is from RNAcentral.